GCAUCCGCAGCUUAAAGCGGUCAAGCGCCUGACUUGUAAUCGAAAGAUUGUUGGUUCAAUCCCAACCGGGCGCUA
This 75-nucleotide transfer RNA is filed under the name Caudoviricetes sp. Its description in RNAcentral is "tRNA-Thr". It matches the Rfam family "tRNA". From Rfam's summary of the family: Transfer RNA (tRNA) molecules are approximately 80 nucleotides in length. Lineage: Duplodnaviria; Heunggongvirae; Uroviricota; Caudoviricetes. The record is from RNAcentral.